GCCGCCCUCUCGCCGGUCACCGUGGCCAGGCUUCGGGGGCGGGGGGUUUGUGUCACUGUGUGCGUGAGAAGCAUUACUUUGGGGCUACAGACAGUGUUAAGGUCUGGCAGUGAGCCUCGAGCCUCAGGGCCUCCUUCAAGGAUGAGUGAGGGACACUGUGAGGUUCAAGGAUGAUGUACAUCAGGUUUUCUAUGGCCCCGAGAAAGAACAUUUCCUGCUCUAUGCAUCUGAGAAUUGACUGUCUUCAUCCUACUGAGAUCAAUGAGUGUAAACAGAGGUGUGUGGAGUAAAGAAACUUGCCUAAGGUUUCGCCCUGCCCGGGAAUGAUGUUAGCAACAAACCAGCCAGCUCACCACUGCCAGAGGCAUGAGAACAGGUUUCCUCCUCAACUUCUGAAAGAAAUAGUACAUUAGCAUCAUAGACAUUUAAGCAUAGAAGGUGGCCAUUCAACCCUUGUGCCUGUGUCAUGCAAGCUCCUUCACUGGAUCCAUCUAUUCUUAUCUCAUCUUCUUUCUCCGCGCCCUUUUACAUCUUCAUUCUUCAAUUGUUUAUCUAAAUCCCUUUUAAAUUAAGUGGUUGACCCCACUUCAUUAGCAAUUGUAGAAAUUCUUUCCAAAUCCUAAUAACAUUUUGUGUAAGGAAUUUUAUUUUAAUCUCCCUCUUAUACUUCUAGCAAUGAUUUAAAAUUCAAAUGGUUUCCAACAGGAUGGGAAAAAAAAGGAAAGAGAAAGAUAGUGGAGUUUGAUCCUAGGCAAAAUAGAUGCAGCAACUCUUUGUUAUAAAGACCCCAUUUUAUUAGCAAUGUAUUGUUUAAUUUAUUCCAAGUCUUUGAGAUUGGAAGCUAUCUUUGCUCAACUGUUAAAUUUUAAGAACUCAAAUCUGAACAAUUUAUGUUAAAGACUGGUCUGCACGAUAUUACAACGUAGCAAUGCCUCCAAAGGUCUGCUGGUACUAUAAACCAAGACAAUAAUAAUAAUCCUUGCAUUUGAUAUAGCUCCUUGUC
Long non-coding RNA from Callorhinchus milii (elephant shark), 1003 nucleotides. RefSeq lists it as uncharacterized. The record is from RefSeq and is a predicted model, not a curated record. Lineage: Eukaryota; Metazoa; Chordata; Chondrichthyes; Chimaeriformes; Callorhinchidae. The transcript has 3 exons.